CAGGAGGCGCCUGCCCCGAGCGGGAGCAGUUACCUGCGCGGCGGGGAACAUCCCCCGCCCCAGAGAAAGGGCUGGGUACAGGCACCCAGCCUGGGGGUGGCACUUAAGGGCAGCGCGUAGAAAGAAGCAAAAUAACUGUGGUUUGGAGCAGUCCACGUCGAUAUCUUCGGGGAAGAACGAUUCGUGCCACAGGUGGGCUGAGAAGGAGAGAAACCAGGGAGGCAGAAGAUGAUCCUGGGGUGAAGACAAUCCCUUGUCCUUCAUUAGUGCUGCUGCCCACCAAAUACCCCCAAACACUUCACAGACAUAAGGGCCUCAAUGUCUCCACGAGUAUACCUGGUGGGAUGAUCCCACUUCUACAAAUGGGGCAACCAAGACAUGGGAUGGGCAAGUGACUUUGUGGCUUAGCCAAGGUCACACAGGAAUCACCUGGCAGAGCUGGGCAAAGAACUCAGCUCACUCACUGAGUCCCACUUUGUCUUACACCACAGCAAGCCAGCUUUCCUGUGUAUAGGAGAGCAGACUGCAAAUCACACACUAUUUUAUAAAGUGAUGUGAUGUUAAUAUUUAAAAUAAAACCCCAAAGCAAUAAUGGGUCACAGACUGUAUGAGCGGGGGUCACAUGAAGGAAGGAAGCUUUUUAUACAGCUCUGGGGUGACCACAGCUGAAAUAUUGUGUGGUCAGUUCUAGAUACUUUCUUACUGAAUAAAUGGGAGUAUGGAGAAGAGUAACAGGAAUUAAGAAGCUGGAAGGACUCAUUUAUAGAGAAUUAAGACCCCAAUCCUAAAAUGAGAGCUGUGCGAAGAGAAUGGGACUCACCCAGUGUUCAUUGCAGGAUCGGGGCCUAAAAUAAUUGUCAUAUCGUAUUUUACUAAGAGGUGUUGUUCUUAUUUGGCUUAUGCAAUUUGGUCAAGCCAAGCCACAGUGUUCUUAUCAACGAUGUUCAAGGCACGAAGGCCUCCAGGAAGCUGUCAUUUUGCAGUCCUCAGCAAUAUGUCAUGGUUUGUGGCUGCACACGCAGACAUAGUAGACUAUCUCUAAAAUGCCACUGAAAUUCUGCUGCAGCACAAAUUCCAUGUCCGGUAUGAAACUGGUUCAGAAGGCUUCAUUGCCUUUGCGUAAAUCAAACCCGGCUUGACGUUGAGUGGGAUCCGAGACAAGCAGGCGAUGUGAGGGCAGACGACCAUGUGAUGGAUUAAACAAGUCUUUAACAGAAGAUAUGGCAUAUCACCCAAUUUCGUCAUGAGCUUUGCGACACUUUCUGAGAACACUGGGCAGACCAAUAUUGCAGAGAACUGGUAACCAAGCCUCCCCUACUCUGCGACAAGCUAAACUUCAAUUCUGCAAUAGUCUGGCACAGCAAACUGGUAGUUUUACAAUAACACCAUUUAAGUUAAAAAGAUUAAAGAUUUAGGGUGGGAUUGUCCCACAAAAAGUGAAAAACUGAAAAUCAGAGGGAACUGAGGUCCAGAUCCUCUGAAAGAUCUGGGCCCAAGUACUUAACUUCCUUGGGCAGUUUUGAAAAAUCUCACCCUUGAUCUUCAAUAAAGAUUUAAAACUUCAAUUUAAGUAUACAUGUAUUAAAUCCAAAAAUGAAUACAAAUAUAUUAAGUCAGUAUAGUGGCCUAAUGUGUUAUUUUGCUACUAAAUUCAACUUAUUUUGUGUCCCCUCCACACUUUCAAUUUUCAUUUUGCCAUAAUCUUUUGUUUGGUAACACAUAACAGUGCAAAUAAAUCUCAGUUGGCUAUUGCAACCAUUUGGGAGGAGACUUUUGGCACCCCGGGAGGGAUCAGAGGCAAUUAAGUUGUG
Long non-coding RNA from Trachemys scripta elegans, 1811 nucleotides. RefSeq lists it as uncharacterized. The transcript is spliced from 3 exons. NCBI's taxonomy places the organism in Eukaryota, Metazoa, Chordata, Testudines, Emydidae. The record is from RefSeq and is a predicted model, not a curated record.